ACAUAUCCCAUUGUGGUACAGGGCCAGGGUGUGUCUGUCAUUCCAGCAUAAACUUCAAUUUUAUGGGUUUACAAAUCAGAUGUUUUAAAUUACAGCUGAAUGAGACUGGAGACUCCUACACAAGUUGUCAUGUCAAAAGUGAACCGGGGAAAUAUUCAUGCAUUUUUUUUUUAUGCUGGGUAUCACAUGUGCAAAAAGAGGCUGGGAAAACUACUUUUAAGCCUUUGGGAGCAGUGUGGCUGCACUGCAUCCUCCUGGGAAUUGUGCUCCAAGAGCUGGGUUUAUCAAUAUCCCAAAGACAGAGUAACACAGUAGGUCCUGUGUGUACAUGGUGGUGCUGACAUAAGCAAUGUCCUCAUCCCCAGUGUCCUGGAAGACCACCAGCACAUCACUCCUCAGCUGCCAUUUCAGCCCUCAGGGACUGCUGAUAGCAUCAUUCCUGGGACAGCUUUUAUGUUAGAGCUAAGGAUCAGCAGUUCUAGGGCUACUUUCCAAAAGAAGACAAAUCCUUUGAACUAUGUAGCCAAAGACACUGCAAAUAUUCCUUUAGCCAGUAAAUAAUCUUGGAUUUUUACUUUUUGCCAGCCUUUGAUUUAUGAAAGAGACCUUUCUACAAAAACAAGGGACAAAAUCAACAUAUUUCUCCCAAUACAAAGUACAAGUGACUUCCUCAUCACCUGCAGUAUAAAAUAAAACCCAUCAUUUUUGGGUGGUAACAUUUAACCUAAAGGAACAAGGGUGUUCCAUUAAUGAUGGAGUGCUGGCCACAGGCUCCCAUUUUUGCUCUGCCUUAGACUUCUAUAAGCAAAAUCAUGAAGACCUUCAAGGUAUCUAAUUCCCAUCAAUUGUUUUUCCAGGAAUGAAGAACUAUCCCAGUUCUUAUGCCCUGUGCUUCAGAUCACACCAUGCAACAUGAAGGUUGCUUCACACACCUCAUCAGAAGGGGUAGUGAGGAUAAAGGCCCUGUGACCUCCAUGAGAUGUCCAUGUAGAGCACUACUACGCUGGUGUGAACUACUGUUUGAGCUGGAGUCAGUGGCAAAGCACAAGUUGGGAAUAAAACCAGGCCCUGUUCAACUGGCAUUUAAUUUAAAGGGACUUUUAACUCCA
This is a non-coding RNA of Cyanistes caeruleus (blue tit), 1109 nucleotides long. The record is from RefSeq and is a predicted model, not a curated record. NCBI's taxonomy places the organism in Eukaryota, Metazoa, Chordata, Aves, Passeriformes, Paridae.